UCAUUCGAGUGGCGGACGGGUGAGUAACGCGUGGGUAACCUGCCUUACACAGGGGGAGUAACACCUGGAAACAGGUGCUAAUACCGCAUAAGCGCACAGGGCCGCAUGGCCCGGUGUGAAAAACUCCGGUGGUGUAAGAUGGACCCGCGUCUGAUUAGCUUGUUGGCGGGGUAGGGGCCCACCAAGGCGACGAUCAGUAGCCGGCCUGAGAGGGUGGACGGCCACAUUGGGACUGAGACACGGCCCAAACUCCUACGGAAGGCAGCAG
This 268-nucleotide ribosomal RNA is filed under the name uncultured bacterium. Its description in RNAcentral is "partial 16S ribosomal RNA". It matches the Rfam family "Bacterial small subunit ribosomal RNA", at positions 87 to 354 of the family's 1533-position model. The record is from RNAcentral.